CCAUGACCCUAAUCAUGCUCACGAGAAAAACCUCUAAGGUUAGGCCAUUACAACCCGUACCGUAAACCGACACAGGUAGUCGAGAAGAGUAUUCUAAGGCGCUCGGGUGAGCCACGGAGAAGGAACUAGGCAAAUUGUAGCUGUAACUUCGGGAUAAAGCUAUCCCUCCGCAAGGGGGGAUUCAAUGAAAAGGUUCAACCAACUGUUUAGCAAAAACACAGGGCCCUGCAAAAUCGAAAGAUGACGUAUAGAGCCUGAUACCUGCCCGGUGCUGGAAGGUUAAGGAAGCUUGUCAGCCGUAAGGUGAAGCUUGCGACCGAAGCCCCAGUAAACGGCGGCCGUAACGAUAACGGUCCUAAGGUAGCGAAAUUCCUUGUCGGGUAAGUUCCGACCUGCACGAAUGGUCUAAUGAGUUGAACACUGUCUCCUCCGUGAGCCCGGUGAAAUUGUAGUAUCGGUGAAGAUGCCGGUUACCCGCCACGGGACGAAAGGACCCCGUGAACCUUCACUACAACUUUGCAUUGAUUUUGAGUAACAGAUGUGUAGCAUAGUUGGGAGACUUUGAAGCAGGUGCGCCAGCAUUUGUGGAGUCAACGUUGAAAUACCAACCUUCUGUUACUUAGAGUCUAAUCCCCGCAGGGGGAGACAUUGCAUGGUGGGUAGUUUGACUGGGGUGGUCGCCUCCUAAAGUGUAACGGAGGCUCGCAAAGGUACCCUCAGUACGGUUGGUAAUCGUACGCAGAGCGCAUUAGUAGAAGGGUGCUUGACUGUGAGACUUACCAGUCGAGCAGGUGCGAAAGCAGGCUAAAGUGAUCCGGUGGUUUCCGUAUGGAAGGGCCAUCGCUCAAAGGAUAAAAGGUACUCCGGGAUAACAGGCUGAUCUCCCCCAAGAGCUCAUAUCGACGGGGAGGUUUGGCACCUCGAUGUCGGUUCGUCACAUCCUGGGGCUGGAGAAGGUCCCAAGGGUUCGGCUGUUCGCCGAUUAAAGUGGCACGUGAACUGGGUUCAGAACGUCGCAAGACAGUUCGGUCUCUAUCUGUGGUGGGCGUUAGUAAAUUGAGAGGACAUGCUCUUAGUACGAGAGGACCGGAGCGUAUGUACCGCUGGUGUAUCUGUUGUUCCGCCAGGGGCAGUGCAGAGUAGCUAUGUACAGUCAGGAUAAGCGCUGAAAGCAUCUAAGCGCGAAACCUUCCUCAAGAUGAGUUUACUUUUAAGGGCCGUGGAAGACUACCACGUCGAUAGGCUAUAGGUGUAAAGGUGGUAACAUCAAAGCCGAGUAGUACUAAUUGCCCGUAAGCUUUAAUC
RNAcentral lists this ribosomal RNA (1305 nucleotides) under metagenome. RNAcentral describes it as "bacterial LSU rRNA". It matches the Rfam family "Bacterial large subunit ribosomal RNA", at positions 1588 to 2925 of the family's 2925-position model. The record is from RNAcentral.